CCCUUAGAUGUCCUGGGCCGCACGCGCGCUACACUGAUGCAUUCAACGAGUCUACCUUGGCCGAGAGGCCUGGGCAACCUUUUAAACGUGCAUCGUGAUAGGGAUAGAUUAUUGCAAUUAUUAAUCUUGAACGAGGAAUUCCUAGUAAACGCAAAUCAUCAAUUUGCAUUGAUUACGUCCCUGCACUUUGUACACACCGCCCGUCGCACCUACCGAUUGAAUGGUCCGGUGAGGACUCGGGAUUGUGGUUCUUGCCGCUUUAUUGUGGCGUGACCGCGAGAACUUGUCUAAACCUUAUCAUCUAGAGGAAGGUGAAGUCGUAACA
Molecule: ribosomal RNA, 325 nt
Filed under: uncultured eukaryote
Lineage: Eukaryota
Description: partial 18S ribosomal RNA
Rfam family: Eukaryotic small subunit ribosomal RNA
Source: RNAcentral